UCGUUUCGUGCAAAAUUGGUGUUU
This 24-nucleotide non-coding RNA is filed under the name Arabidopsis thaliana (thale cress). The record is from RNAcentral. Lineage: Eukaryota; Viridiplantae; Streptophyta; Magnoliopsida; Brassicales; Brassicaceae.